This 32-nucleotide ribosomal RNA is filed under the name uncultured Lactarius. Its description in RNAcentral is "partial 18S ribosomal RNA". Lineage: Eukaryota; Fungi; Basidiomycota; Agaricomycetes; Russulales; Russulaceae. The record is from RNAcentral.
AGUGAUGAUGCCGUACGUAGGAAGGAUCAUUA